CAUGAGAAUACAAAUAACAAAGUUGUUGACAAUGCAAGAGAAACAAGAUGUGAGGAGAAAAAAGCUUGUCUUCUGUGAGACACUCCUCUGCCAAUCAUCUGGGACAGUUGGACAUGCUAGUAUGUACUGGUCAAUCAUUGCCAUUACAGUACCUGGAGCAUAGUUCAGUGAUGUGAGGUCGGUGGCUGGAAUGGACAGAAGACCCCACAGCUGUGGCCGUGUGCUGACCGACCAACAGGAGUGGGCAGUGGUGAAAAUGGGGAGGGUCAGGAAUGACAUACAGCUGUCCGAAAUAAAGCAGGCCAUUGAGAAGAACUAUGACACCUUUGCCAAGGUGGCUUCCAUCAGCCUACCAGCAAUCACCUGCCUUUUGAAGAGGCACCAGGU
Long non-coding RNA from Oncorhynchus tshawytscha (Chinook salmon), 387 nucleotides. The record is from Ensembl. Lineage: Eukaryota; Metazoa; Chordata; Actinopteri; Salmoniformes; Salmonidae.